This is a long non-coding RNA of Bombus huntii, 1945 nucleotides long. RefSeq lists it as uncharacterized. NCBI's taxonomy places the organism in Eukaryota, Metazoa, Arthropoda, Insecta, Hymenoptera, Apidae. The transcript has 4 exons. The record is from RefSeq and is a predicted model, not a curated record.
GCAGAGUGGACAGUGGGGACUCGGAGAUGGUCGACAGAUGUGGCGAGUAACGGGACAGCGGCGAAUGGAGCGGUCUACGCGAAUAACUUCAUGAAAUUCUGGUUGCUAGGCAACGUGGAUGCUUCCCUGGCGGUUUCUCUUUGACGAGUCGAACACGAAGAAAGUACGCUAAGCUGGUAUUUUAUCUGGAGAGGUUGAUUAACAACAGAAGGUAACAUCGAACAGUCAUGGAACAAGCUUUACCUACCGAAUGGCUCACCUGUAAGUGUAUCCUUCCGCGCCCACGCGUGCCUGCGGACUUCUUCCAGCUCGUGGGCUUCUACGGUCCGCGGACGACUUCCGGCCUGAACCACCGCCUGCGUUGCGCCUCUUCGCGUGAGCACCACCGGUGAACAUCAUUUUCCUCCUAUUCACCUACUUACUCUCUUUGCCUUCUGUCCACGCUAAUUCUUUUGUCAUUGAUGACAAUUCAUUCAAAUGCUUCAACGUCGAAAGAUAACACUGUUUCCCGCCUCGUGACGCUCGAAUUCCGGGGCACUUGGCCGCGUAAUGCCAGAAGAAUUCUCGUCCAUCGGCCAGCAACAUUUUCCUUUCUGUCCGCCACGAACAAGGCAUCGGUCACUUACAAUCGAUUAAAACUUACUGACUCCACCUUCGCGAAGAAACAGCGGGCAGAACACGCGUCACAUUGUUAGUGAAAUUAUAAUAGACUAUUCUCGACCAAAGAAAUGGGUCAUCAGAGGAAUUGUGACCUUGAUAAGUCAAGUCAACAAGAAACGAAGCAUAACCAUUAAAUCUUCUAAAUCUCGAUCAUCUCCUUUAUCGAGGAUUACACUGGACUCCUUAAUUGGUCAUUUUAAUUGUACCAACGGUAUCGUUACUCGUCUGAAUAAGUUCUGACAGUUGAUUGGCUUUUUCAGAUCCGAUGUCACAUUCGGCACUGUUCACUUACCACUGAUUUCAUCGUUUUUAACCUUUGUGCACCAAAUAAUAAUAAGAAGAAGAGCUACGAUUAUAAUUAAAAAGAUAUGGCUUCCAAGCGAGAAGGAAAAUCCCUGAGGUUGUCACAGAAAUUUUUGAAAGAAAAGGUUAGAAGACACCGAGUCUCUACUUCAGUCUCACUCUUCUCACCCUUGCGAAGAUCACAUGUUUUUGAUCAAAUGGAUGUAUGACUAAUACUCGAGAAAGAAAACGUUACAUCGACUAUGGAAGUGGAAGAUGUCUCUUCUUUUCAAUUUCCUCUUCUUUGGUCCAACGUUCCGAUGUGAUACAUCGUUUCAACAGGAAUGUGUCGCGACCAAAAGUAGUAUUAACGAUAUUCAAACGUCAGCUACACAGUUUGAUUGACUCCACACGAUAUUUGAAUGCUGUACUUUAGCAAGUCUCUCUCGUUUUCUGAAAAUAACGACUACUGACUGCUGUAAUUUAUGGAAUACAUACGAUCAAAUUGAAAACUAUGGAUCAUCGCGUGGAUGUUGACGAACAUAGGAACUGGAUUUUGACGCCUAAAACGUUGUGUAGCUUUGCACGAAACUCUCGAAUCUAUAAAUAUCAGCCUGUUGAAUACCGCCCGCCAUCGAGUCGAGUAGCGCCGCGUGCGGGAAAUAUUAGAAUACGCUAUCCGGCGCGUUUUCCAGCCUGGAAAAGCAAAUGGAUUCCAGAAAAAUUUCUGGACAGGUUAAAAAAAAAUAGUUCUAUAUUAGAUAAGAAAAGACUUGUACAUUUCAGACAAGCUUGACUUUGGUUACUUUUUUUUUUUUAAUAAAUUUGAAUAGUAUAAAAAAAGAAACACUAACGAUUGAUUUUUUUUAUGCAAACGAAUGUAUUUGUUCGAUGUGUAAUUAACGAUGUGUACAAUGAGUUCGUUUCCUUACAUAUCAAGUACAGAAAAACAAUAGCAAUAAUUCAUUAUUUGUAUCAUGAAUAAAAUUUUUUUCUACGUUAA